Unclassified non-coding RNA from Pteropus vampyrus (large flying fox), 110 nucleotides. It matches the Rfam family "Y RNA". From Rfam's summary of the family: Y RNAs are components of the Ro ribonucleoprotein particle (Ro RNP), in association with Ro60 and La proteins. The Y RNAs and Ro60 and La proteins are well conserved, but the function of the Ro RNP is not known. The record is from Ensembl. Lineage: Eukaryota; Metazoa; Chordata; Mammalia; Chiroptera; Pteropodidae.
GGCUGGUCCGAAGGAAGUGAAUUAUCUCAAUUGAUUGUUCACAGUCAGUUACAGAUCAAAUUCUUUGUUAUACUUUCCCCCUUAUCGCUACUGUACUUGACCAAUCUUUA